UGGGGAAUUGUUCGCAAUGGGCGCAAGCCUGACGACGCAACGCCGCGUGGAGGAUGAAGAUCUUCGGGUCGUAAACUCCUUUCGAUCGAGACGAAUGGCCUUUGGGCUAAUACCCUGAGGGAAUGACGGUACCGAGAGAAGAAGCCCCGGCUAACUCCGUGCCAGCAGCCGCGGUAAUACGGGGGGGGCAAGCGUUGUUCGGAAUUACUGGGCGUAAAGGGCUCGUAGGCGGCCAACUAAGUCAGACGUGAAAUCCCUCGGCUUAACCGGGGAACUGCGUCUGAUACUGGAUGGCUUGAGUUCGGGAGAGGGAUGCGGAAUUCCAGGUGUAGCGGUGAAAUGCGUAGAUAUCUGGAGGAACACCGGUGGCGAAGGCGGCAUCCUGGACCGAUACUGACGCUGAGGAGCGAAAGCCAGGGGAGCAAACGGGAUUAGAUACCCCCGUAGUCC
RNAcentral lists this ribosomal RNA (450 nucleotides) under uncultured bacterium. RNAcentral describes it as "bacterial SSU rRNA". It matches the Rfam family "Bacterial small subunit ribosomal RNA", at positions 355 to 796 of the family's 1533-position model. The record is from RNAcentral.